This 244-nucleotide RNase MRP RNA is filed under the name Auxenochlorella protothecoides. RNAcentral describes it as "RNase MRP". It matches the Rfam family "RNase MRP". From Rfam's summary of the family: RNase MRP is an enzymatically active ribonucleoprotein with two distinct roles in eukaryotes. In mitochondria it plays a direct role in the initiation of mitochondrial DNA replication. In the nucleus it is involved in precursor rRNA processing, where it cleaves the internal transcribed spacer 1 between 18S and 5.8S rRNAs. Lineage: Eukaryota; Viridiplantae; Chlorophyta; Trebouxiophyceae; Chlorellales; Chlorellaceae. The record is from Rfam by way of RNAcentral.
GAGUGCGGACCCAGGACCCCGCCCUCCACGAUCAGACGCUCUUGCGUCCAUGUACUGGGAGAAAGUCCCCGGGCGAUGAGGCAGAGAGUGCCAUCCCGAAAGGGCAGGACCCCCGAGACGAGGCGCCCCUGGGGGCCCCAUCGUCGAAGGGCAGCUCGCCGUAGACACAGUUAUGUGGCCGGCGCCGGGCCGUCCUCGUCAGAGGGCGUUUCGGCGCUAACACAACGGGGCUUACUCUUGCACU